This is a regulatory RNA element of Runella slithyformis DSM 19594, 36 nucleotides long. It matches the Rfam family "DUF805b RNA". Rfam says of the family: Bacteroidetes, Chlorobi (1 example), Proteobacteria. Lineage (Flavobacteria) The record is from Rfam. Lineage: Bacteria; Pseudomonadati; Bacteroidota; Cytophagia; Cytophagales; Spirosomataceae.
AAGGCAGUUUCUGAAAAGCCUGUAAGAGAGUAGGAA